Molecule: unclassified non-coding RNA, 368 nt
Filed under: soil metagenome
Description: partial contains 5.8S ribosomal RNA, internal transcribed spacer 2, and large subunit ribosomal RNA
Rfam family: 5.8S ribosomal RNA (bases 1-120)
Source: RNAcentral
GAUGAAGAACGUAGCGAAAUGCGAUAAGUAAUGUGAAUUGCAGAAUUCAGUGAACCAUCGAAUCUUUGAACGCACAUUGCGCCCGGCAGUAAUCUGCCGGGCAUGCCUGUCCGAGCGUCAUUUCUGCCCUCGAGCGAGUCCAGCAUCUAGGUGCUGGGCCCGCCCGGCGUUGGGGCACUACGGGAAGCCCUGUGCUGACCCCCGUAGGCCCCGAAAUGAAGUGGCGGUCCUGCCGCGGCGCCCCCUGCGUAGUAUAACAGCUCGCUUCGGGACCCGGUGGAGGCCUGCCGUCAAACCUUACUCUCUAAGUUUGACCUCGGAUCAGGUAGGGUUACCCGCUGAACUUAAGCAUAUCAAUAAGCGGAGGA